RNAcentral lists this ribosomal RNA (399 nucleotides) under Triticum aestivum (bread wheat). Its description in RNAcentral is "partial small subunit ribosomal RNA". Lineage: Eukaryota; Viridiplantae; Streptophyta; Magnoliopsida; Poales; Poaceae. The record is from RNAcentral.
AUGAAGGUGGCGGCGGGGACCUCGGCGGAUCCACCCUGCAUGGAGAACCUCAGCAUCCGGGGCGGUGGCCCCGGGCGGCUGCCAGCGGCGUGGCCUGUGCGGCGGGCGGCGGCGCAGGGUGCAGGUGGGCCGCCUUCCCGGUCGCGCGGGCGGCGUGGAGGCGGCGGGCGUCGACGGCUGCAGCAGCUUCCCGUAGGUCGGCUGUACCUUGGAGAAUCGGCGUCCACAACCUCAAUCUGCUCCGAUCCGCGCCGCCCCCUGUCCCUGGUGGCUCCGGUCGCUGUUUUCUGGAUGGCGGGUGUGCGGAUCUGGUGGUUGGGUGCGGAUCCGGGGGAAACCCCUGGCCGGCGCGGCGGCCACAUUGAAGACGUCGCCUUUGGGCAUCGUUUUCCUUGCUGA